Long non-coding RNA from Brassica oleracea var. oleracea, 992 nucleotides. RefSeq lists it as uncharacterized. NCBI's taxonomy places the organism in Eukaryota, Viridiplantae, Streptophyta, Magnoliopsida, Brassicales, Brassicaceae. The record is from RefSeq and is a predicted model, not a curated record. The transcript has 3 exons.
AGAAGAUGGAGCCCGCUAGUAACCCUAAUUCUGCUUAAUCGAAGAAACGAAGUUUGUCUUUUCCCUUCGUGUGAUGGCGACGCGGUGACUUUUGCUCUUCUUCUCACCAUCUGAAACGGCCCCAGUUAUGGCUUUGUGUUUAAUCCCAUUGAUUCACUCGCCACGAUGAGGUCUUCAAUGCAUCGUUUAGAUCUGAGAGUCGGCUUUCGCGAUUUCGGUUUGAACGGAAUUGUGUACAACAUCGAAGGAUACCUCUUGCUGGUCUUGGUGGUGAGAGCAACACAUGGAAGAUGUUUAAGGUCGACGAAGAAACCGGGACGGCGAGUAUUGUGUUGAUGAAUAGAGAUCUAGCUGCGGCAGAUGUGAUGUUGAGGAGACGGGGAGAGAUACGGUUGUAGUGGUGUGCCAGAAGAAGCUUUGGUUUGUUCAGAGCCAAGAUAAAUAUGGAUAUAAAAAAUCAGGCAAGUGAUCAUCAAUUGCUUAUCAGUACAGAGGAUGUGUUUUCCCUUUUGCACUUGGAGAUUAAUGUUACUGAAGCGAUUCUGAGCAGAACCUUCUUCAAGCUUCCGGGUUUCAGGAAAUCGUGUCAACCCGGAUUGUAAACCUUAAGAGGAGGAACUAAGCAUAUGUCUGCCAAGAUUAGCCAAUAUUGUGACCGUCAAAUGAGUGAUGUCGUUUCAAUGCUUUGCUGGAACAGAGUCUGGCCUAAAUAGCUUUACAGGGUUGUUGGUGCGUCGAAGAUGGUUUGGUUGGUUCAACUAUUAGCUAACUCGGUGAAGAUGGGCUUGCAAAUCUUUCACGCGGAGGAAGACAACGGAUCUGAUCCUGUUUACAUGGAAGCAACUGGUGACCGGUUUAAGGAUUUGGUUCGAGCUAUGCUUCAACCAGUUCUAAUAUUGGUGACAUUAAAAUUAGGAAUGACUUUUGUGAGUAAAUAAUUGGAAGCUGGCAAUGACUUUUACGAUGAAAUGUAAGAUAUGUGCAUUUUUCAU